GAUGAACGCUGGCGGCGUGCCUAAUACAUGCAAGUCGAGCGAACGGACGAGAAGCUUGCUUCUCUGAUGUUAGCGGCGGACGGGUGAGUAACACGUGGAUAACCUACCUAUAAGACUGGGAUAACUUCGGGAAACCGUAGCUAAUACCGGAUAAUAUUUUGAACCGCAUGGUUCAAAAGUGAAAGACGGUCUUGCUGUCACUUAUAGAUGGAUCCGCGCUGCAUUAGCUAGUUGGUAAGGUAACGGCUUACCAAGGCAACGAUGCAUAGCCGACCUGAGAGGGUGAUCGGCCACACUGGAACUGAGACACGGUCCAGACUCCUACGGGAGGCAGCAGUAGGGAAUCUUCCGCAAUGGGCGAAAGCCUGACGGAGCAACGCCGCGUGAGUGAUGAAGGUCUUCGGAUCGUANAACUCUGUUAUUAGGGAAGAACAUAUGUGUAAGUAACUGUGCACAUCUUGACGGUACCUAAUCAGAAAGCCACGGCUAACUACGUGCCAGCAGCCGCGGUAAUACGUAGGUGGCAAGCGUUAUCCGGAAUUAUUGGGCGUAAAGCGCGCGUAGGCGGUUUUUUAGUCUGAUGUGAAAGCCCACGGCUCAACCGUGGAGGGUCAUUGGAAACUGGAAAACUUGAGUGCAGAAGAGGAAAGUGGAAUUCCAUGUGUAGCGGUGAAAUGCGCAGAGAUAUGGAGGAACACCAGUGGCGAAGGCGACUUUCUGGUCUGUAACUGACGCUGAUGUGCGAAAGCGUGGGGAUCAAACAGGAUUAGAUACCCUGGUAGUCCACGCCGUAAACGAUGAGUGCUAAGUGUUAGGGGGUUUCCGCCCCUUAGUGCUGCAGCUAACGCAUUAAGCACUCCGCCUGGGGAGUACGACCGCAAGGUUGAAACUCAAAGGAAUUGACGGGGACCCGCACAAGCGGUGGAGCAUGUGGUUUAAUUCGAAGCAACGCGAAGAACCUUACCAAAUCUUGACAUCCUUUGACAACUCUAGAGAUAGAGCCUUCCCCUUCGGGGGACAAAGUGACAGGUGGUGCAUGGUUGUCGUCAGCUCGUGUCGUGAGAUGUUGGGUUAAGUCCCGCAACGAGCGCAACCCUUAAGCUUAGUUGCCAUCAUUAAGUUGGGCACUCUAAGUUGACUGCCGGUGACAAACCGGAGGAAGGUGGGGAUGACGUCAAAUCAUCAUGCCCCUUAUGAUUUGGGCUACACACGUGCUACAAUGGACAAUACAAAGGGCAGCGAAACCGCGAGGUCAAGCAAAUCCCAUAAAGUUGUUCUCAGUUCGGAUUGUAGUCUGCAACUCGACUACAUGAAGCUGGAAUCACUAGUAAUCGUAGAUCAGCAUGCUACGGUGAAUACGUUCCCGGGUCU
Molecule: ribosomal RNA, 1371 nt
Filed under: uncultured bacterium
Lineage: Bacteria
Description: bacterial SSU rRNA
Rfam family: Bacterial small subunit ribosomal RNA
Source: RNAcentral